Molecule: non-coding RNA, 154 nt
Organism: Populus trichocarpa (black cottonwood)
Lineage: Eukaryota; Viridiplantae; Streptophyta; Magnoliopsida; Malpighiales; Salicaceae
Source: Rfam
UCUAGAACUCGAGAUAUGGUUGAACACUGAACAAUGUCUAGGCUGCAGGACAGAUUCAGACUUCUCCGUUGUUGCUACAAUUUGAACUUGAAAAUGGCCUUUUUGAAUCUUGGACUCCCAUGAAAGUUUUAGGCAUAUAUCUUAGUUUUCUAUC